RNAcentral lists this non-coding RNA (31 nucleotides) under Rattus norvegicus (Norway rat). The record is from RNAcentral. Lineage: Eukaryota; Metazoa; Chordata; Mammalia; Rodentia; Muridae.
UAUAAAGGGAUAUGGCAAUGCCACUGAAGGA